This 402-nucleotide long non-coding RNA is filed under the name Rhinopithecus bieti (black snub-nosed monkey). Its description in RNAcentral is "lncRNA (ENSRBIG00000046249.1)". Lineage: Eukaryota; Metazoa; Chordata; Mammalia; Primates; Cercopithecidae. The record is from RNAcentral.
AUAAGCAAUGUAAUAAUAAUGCCCAUUGGAAUGAGCAAUCUCGUGGGGAAAAAUAAAACUUGACCUAUAUCCACAAUAACCAGUUUGAAUGGGUCUGAGGAUCAGGACUGGGGAAUGAGACUGAAAGAUGGGCAGCAGAAGUCAGGCUGCAGGUAGAGAUGGUAACAUCCCUGCCCAAGAGCUCCUCUGUAAUGUCUGGCCUCACAUUGAGGAGAGAAGGGUUCUCACGUUGCCUGAGCUGGUGUGGUAAUGAAGAUGGUGAAAGCUGUGCUCACUGUGGGUAGUUGCCUGCGAAGAAAGGGCUGAUUUUGCAAUUGGAUCCUGAAUGUGGAUGCUGCCUCUGUAAGUAGAGGUGUUGUCUAUGAGUGUAUCCAGAAAUGACAAUAAAGUUUCAGACCCAAC